This is a long non-coding RNA of Oncorhynchus tshawytscha (Chinook salmon), 396 nucleotides long. The record is from Ensembl. NCBI's taxonomy places the organism in Eukaryota, Metazoa, Chordata, Actinopteri, Salmoniformes, Salmonidae.
GCUGAGACCAAGGUGUCUUUAUUUAGAGACAGGGAGUCAAUGUUGAGACCAAGGUGUCUUUAUUUAGAGACAGGGAGUCAAUGCUGAGACCAAGGUGUCUUUAUUUAGAGACAGGGAGUCAAUGCUGAGACCAAGGUGUCUUUAUUGAGACAGGGAGAGGUAGAGGUCAUGUGAUGUAAUUACACAGGCCGAUGCUGCAGGGAUGUAGAGGUCAUGUGGUGUAAUUACACAGGCCGAUGCUGCAGGGAUGUAGAGGUCAUUUGAAGCAGCCUUUCUUCCAUCGCGUGUUUGGAACAAUGACAAAGACAUCGGCAACUUUGUAUUCUGUCGUCAACUCCGCUCUGAAGUGACCUGGCGGGCACCGUCAGGCAGAGAUCAACAUCUUGAUGUAUGUUC